AUUGAACGCUGGCGGCAUGCUUUACACAUGCAAGUCGAACGGCAGCGCGGGCUUCGGCCUGGCGGCGAGUGGCGAACGGGUGAGUAAUACAUCGGAACGUGCCCAGUAGUGGGGGAUAGCUCGGCGAAAGCCGGAUUAAUACCGCAUACGACCUGAGGGUGAAAGCGGGGGAUCUUCGGACCUCGCGCUAUUGGAGCGGCCGAUGGCAGAUUAGCUAGUUGGUGGGGUAAAGGCCUACCAAGGCGACGAUCUGUAGCUGGUCUGAGAGGACGACCAGCCACACUGGGACUGAGACACGGCCCAGACUCCUACGGGAGGCAGCAGUGGGGAAUUUUGGACAAUGGGCGAAAGCCUGAUCCAGCAAUGCCGCGUGUGUGAUGAAGGCCUUCGGGUUGUAAAGCACUUUUGGCGGGAACGAAAAGGACUAUGCCAAUACCACGGUUCGAUGACGGUACCCGCAGAAUAAGCACCGGCUAACUACGUG
Molecule: ribosomal RNA, 484 nt
Filed under: uncultured bacterium
Lineage: Bacteria
Description: partial 16S ribosomal RNA
Rfam family: Bacterial small subunit ribosomal RNA
Source: RNAcentral